CUCUCCUUGCCCCAUAAAUGUCACAACAACCUCGACCCAAAUUCCCGAUAACGAGGGCCCGUGGAAAGGUUUGCCAGUUUCCCCCCCAGAUUUGGUUUAGGGCCAAGGAGUUUUAAAAAAGGGGCCUCCCCUCCGGGUUUCGCCCCAACCUCUUACCAAUUUAUAUCUACCUUGUUGUAUUGGCAAACAUAAGGUCACCUGCGCUGACUUCGGGCUAAGAGACGCCUUUCAGAGCCAUUCAAUUCUGCCUAUCCAGUUUAUCAGGACAAAAACAUAAUAGUCAAAACUUCAAGAACGGAUCUCUGGGUUCCGAGCAUCGAUGAGGACGCAGCGAAUGCGAUAAGUAAUGUGAAUUGCAGAAUUCAGUGAAUCAUCGAAAUCUUUGAACGCACAUGCGCCCCUCGGUAUUUCCGAGCGGGGCAUGCCUGUUCGAGCGUCAUUACACCCCUCAAAGCGUAGCGUAGGUAUUGGGUUGCUCGCCCCCGCGGCGUGCCGCGAAAAGCAGUGGCGGUCCGGUGUGACUUUAAGCGCAGUAAAUCUUCCCCGCUUUGAAAGUUCGCCCCGUGGCUUUCCCAGACAACCCCGAUUGAUUUCAAGAUGA
This 601-nucleotide ribosomal RNA is filed under the name Hypogymnia tubulosa. Its description in RNAcentral is "eukaryotic LSU rRNA". The stretch from base 284 to 439 matches the Rfam family "5.8S ribosomal RNA". Lineage: Eukaryota; Fungi; Ascomycota; Lecanoromycetes; Lecanorales; Parmeliaceae. The record is from RNAcentral.